GCGGGAAUGGCGCAAUGGUAGCGCAUCUGUUUCCCAAACAGAAGGUUGCGGGUUCGAGCCCCGUUUCCCGCU
RNAcentral lists this transfer RNA (72 nucleotides) under Herpetosiphonaceae bacterium. RNAcentral's name for it is "tRNA-Gly". It matches the Rfam family "tRNA". From Rfam's summary of the family: Transfer RNA (tRNA) molecules are approximately 80 nucleotides in length. Their secondary structure includes four short double-helical elements and three loops (D, anti-codon, and T loops). The record is from RNAcentral. RNAcentral also lists the same sequence under 1 other name. Lineage: Bacteria; Bacillati; Chloroflexota; Chloroflexia; Herpetosiphonales; Herpetosiphonaceae.